This 350-nucleotide ribosomal RNA is filed under the name uncultured bacterium. RNAcentral describes it as "bacterial SSU rRNA". It matches the Rfam family "Bacterial small subunit ribosomal RNA", at positions 158 to 507 of the family's 1533-position model. The record is from RNAcentral.
UUACGCUAAUACCGCAUGCGCCUUCGGGGAAGCGGGGACCUUCGGGCCUGGCGCGAUUGGAUGAGCCCAUGUCGGAUUAGCUAGUUGGCGGGGUAAUGGCCACCAAGGCGACGAUCCGUAGCCGGGUCUGAGAGGAUGAUCAGCCACACUGGAACUGAGACACGGUCCAGACUCCUACGGGAGGCAGCAGUAGGGAAUAUUGGACAAUGGGCGCAAGCCUGAUCCAGCCAUGCCGCGUGAGUGAAGAAGGCCCUCGGGUUGUAAAGCUCUUUUGUCCGGAAAGAAAAGCGCCGGGUUAAUACCCUGGUGUCCUGACGGUACCGGGAGAAUAAGCACCGGCUAACUUCGUG